AGAGUUUGAUCCUGGCUCAGAUUGAACGCUGGCGGCAUGCUUUACACAUGCAAGUCGGACGGCAGCACAGAGAAGCUUGCUUCUUGGGUGGCGAGUGGCGAACGGGUGAGUAACAUAUCGGAACGUACCGAGUAGUGGGGGAUAACUGAUCGAAAGAUCAGCUAAUACCGCAUACGUCUUGAGAGAGAAAGCAGGGGACCUUUGGGCCUUGCGCUAUUCGAGCGGCCGAUAUCUGAUUAGCUGGUUGGUGGGGUAAAGGCCUACCAAGGCGACGAUCAGUAGCGGGUCUGAGAGGAUGAUCCGCCACACUGGGACUGAGACACGGCCCAGACUCCUACGGGAGGCAGCAGUGGGGAAUUUUGGACAAUGGGCGCAAGCCUGAUCCAGCCAUGCCGCGUGUCUGAAGAAGGCCUUCGGGUUGUAAAGGACUUUUGUCAGGGAAGAAAAGGCUGUUGCUAAUAUCAGCGGCUGAUGACGGUACCUGAAGAAUAAGCACCGGCUAACUACGUGCCAGCAGCCGCGGUAAUACGUAGGGUGCGAGCGUUAAUCGGAAUUACUGGGCGUAAAGCGGGCGCAGACGGUUACUUAAGCAGGAUGUGAAAUCCCCGGGCUCAACCCGGGAACUGCGUUCUGAACUGGGUGACUCGAGUGUGUCAGAGGGAGGUAGAAUUCCACGUGUAGCAGUGAAAUGCGUAGAGAUGUGGAGGAAUACCGAUGGCGAAGGCAGCCUCCUGGGACAACACUGACGUUCAUGCCCGAAAGCGUGGGUAGCAAACAGGAUUAGAUACCCUGGUAGUCCACGCCCUAAACGAUGUCAAUUAGCUGUUGGGCAACUUGAUUGCUUAGUAGCGUAGCUAACGCGUGAAAUUGACCGCCUGGGGAGUACGGUCGCAAGAUUAAAACUCAAAGGAAUUGACGGGGACCCGCACAAGCGGUGGAUGAUGUGGAUUAAUUCGAUGCAACGCGAAGAACCUUACCUGGUCUUGACAUGUACGGAAUCCUCCAGAGACGGAGGAGUGCCUUCGGGAGCCGUAACACAGGUGCUGCAUGGCUGUCGUCAGCUCGUGUCGUGAGAUGUUGGGUUAAGUCCCGCAACGAGCGCAACCCUUGUCAUUAGUUGCCAUCAUUCAGUUGGGCACUCUAAUGAGACUGCCGGUGACAAGCCGGAGGAAGGUGGGGAUGACGUCAAGUCCUCAUGGCCCUUAUGACCAGGGCUUCACACGUCAUACAAUGGUCGGUACAGAGGGUAGCCAAGCCGCGAGGCGGAGCCAAUCUCACAAAACCGAUCGUAGUCCGGAUUGCACUCUGCAACUCGAGUGCAUGAAGUCGGAAUCGCUAGUAAUCGCAGGUCAGCAUACUGCGGUGAAUACGUUCCCGGGUCUUGUACACACCGCCCGUCACACCAUGGGAGUGGGGGAUACCAGAAGUAGGUAGGGUAACCGCAAGGAGCCCGCUUACCACGGUAUGCUUCAUGACUGGGGUGAAGUCGUAACAAGGUAGCCGUAGGGGAACCUGCGGCUG
Molecule: ribosomal RNA, 1521 nt
Filed under: Neisseria meningitidis
Lineage: Bacteria; Pseudomonadati; Pseudomonadota; Betaproteobacteria; Neisseriales; Neisseriaceae
Description: bacterial SSU rRNA
Rfam family: Bacterial small subunit ribosomal RNA
Source: RNAcentral